AUGGGAUUAGCUAGUACGUGGGGUAACGGCUCACCUAGGCGACGAUCCCUAGCUGGUCUGAGAGGAUGACCAGCCACACUGGAACUGAGACACGGUCCAGACUCCUACGGGAGGCAGCAGUGGGGAAUAUUGCACAAUGGGCGCAAGCCUGAUGCAGCCAUGCCGCGUGUAUGAAGAAGGCCUUCGGGUUGUAAAGUACUUUACAGCGGGGAGGAAGGGAGUAAAGUUAAUACCUUUGCUCAUUGACCGUUCCCGCAGAAGAAGCUCCGUGCUAUCUCCGUGCCAGCAGCCGCGUGUAUAACUAGGGUGCGAGCGUUAAUCGGAUUUACUGGGCGUAAAGCGUGCGCAGGCGGCCCGUUAAGACAGGUGUGAAAUCCCUGGGCUCAACCUAGGAAUUGCGCUUGUGACUGGCGGGCUCGAGUACGGUAGAGGGGGGUGGAAUUCCUGGUGUAGCAGUGAAAUGCGUAGAGAUCAGGAGGAACACCGAUGGCGAAGGCAGCCCCCUGG
This 507-nucleotide ribosomal RNA is filed under the name uncultured Gammaproteobacteria bacterium. RNAcentral's name for it is "bacterial SSU rRNA". It matches the Rfam family "Bacterial small subunit ribosomal RNA", at positions 235 to 732 of the family's 1533-position model. Lineage: Bacteria; Pseudomonadati; Pseudomonadota; Gammaproteobacteria. The record is from RNAcentral.